GACGACGGGUAGCCGACCUGAGAGGGUGACCGGCCACACUGGGACUGAGACACGGCCCAGACUCCUACGGGAGGCAGCAGUGGGGAAUAUUGCACAAUGGGCGAAAGCCUGAUGCAGCGACGCCGCGUGAGGGAUGACGGCCUUCGGGUUGUAAACCUCUUUCAGCAGGGACGAAGCGCAAGUGACGGUACCUGCAGAAGAAGCACCGGCUAACUACGUGCCAGCAGCCGCGGUAAUACGUAGGGUGCAAGCGUUGUCCGGAAUUACUGGGCGUAAAGAGUUCGUAGGCGGUUUGUCGCGUCGUUUGUGAAAACCAGCAGCUCAACUGCUGGCUUGCAGGCGAUACGGGCAGACUUGAGUACUGCAGGGGAGACUGGAAUUCCUGGUGUAGCGGUGAAAUGCGCAGAUAUCAGGAGGAACACCGGUGGCGAAGGCGGGUCUCUGGGCAGUAACUGACGCUGAGGAACGAAAGCGUGGGUAGCGAACAGGAUUAGAUACCCUGGUAGUCCACGCCGUAAACGGUGGGCGCUAGGUGUGGGUUCCUUCCACGGAAUCCGUGCCGUAGCUAACGCAUUAAGCGCCCCGCCUGGGGGAGUACGGA
This 601-nucleotide ribosomal RNA is filed under the name Nocardiaceae bacterium. RNAcentral describes it as "bacterial SSU rRNA". It matches the Rfam family "Bacterial small subunit ribosomal RNA", at positions 275 to 886 of the family's 1533-position model. The record is from RNAcentral. Lineage: Bacteria; Bacillati; Actinomycetota; Actinomycetes; Mycobacteriales; Nocardiaceae.